This 74-nucleotide transfer RNA is filed under the name Dactylosporangium sucinum. RNAcentral describes it as "tRNA-His". It matches the Rfam family "tRNA". Rfam says of the family: Transfer RNA (tRNA) molecules are approximately 80 nucleotides in length. The record is from RNAcentral. Lineage: Bacteria; Bacillati; Actinomycetota; Actinomycetes; Micromonosporales; Micromonosporaceae.
GUGUUCAUGGUGUACGGGUUGUGCACGCCAGAUUGUGGCUCUGGAGGUUCGGGUUCGACUCCCGGUGAUCACCC